ACUGGGACCUGGGCACUUGAGCGAGGAGGUACAAGAGUGGAUGGAAUUACUCAGAGGCAGGGUGGAGAGUGACAGAAGACAGUGGACUUCUCUUGAGGAAGAGCGUGGUUGGACAGUAGCUGGGAGAGAGCACAAGGGAGGGAAACAGCAUAAGCAAUGGCCUAGGGGUCAGCCAAGAGGAUGUAGACGAGACCGUCGGGACCAGGCCACCUGGACUGAAAACGUCAUGCGAUACGUUGCUGCGGCGGGAGAAGAAACUGCCUACAUAAUUACAGAGGGCCCGAAGAGAACAGCUGGAGCAGCCGGGGACCACAGAGAGAGGAUGCUGCUGCUGCCUGCAUGGGAAAUGGCAUCUUGGCAGCUCCGUUGUCGGAGGACCAGUCCGCGCUCUCCUUGUGAAGGCCACCUCACUCCUAACUAAGAAACUUAAGGAAAUGGGCCAGAAAUCCAUACUCCAUCUCUGGACACCUAUGCCUCUCAACUUGCUACUAUAACAAAUCUUGCCUUAGAAAGGUGAAUAGAAUCUAAACUUCACCAUAGUCUAUCAGAUCCUCUUCAACAUCAACUCUUGUCAUUUUUUCCUUUAUUCUGGGUCCCCUUUCAGUACUUUGAAGAUGUCAAACCCAUUUCCGCUUCAAGGUCUUUGAAUGUGUGUUUUUUUUUUUUUUUCCUUCUGGAAUGGUCUUCUCCUCCCUUGGCAGGGCUGGCCCUAUCUCAUUCUUCUAAUCCUAAACAUCAUUUCUUUCCCAAGAUCCCUUUUGACCAGCCUAUUUAAAGUGGUUUCUCCAUCACUGUACCUGUUAGCUUCCUCACAGCACUAUCACAACUUGUAAUUAUAUAUG
This is a long non-coding RNA of Bos taurus (domestic cattle), 842 nucleotides long. NCBI's taxonomy places the organism in Eukaryota, Metazoa, Chordata, Mammalia, Artiodactyla, Bovidae. The record is from Ensembl.